This is a long non-coding RNA of Zophobas morio, 282 nucleotides long. RefSeq lists it as uncharacterized. The record is from RefSeq and is a predicted model, not a curated record. Lineage: Eukaryota; Metazoa; Arthropoda; Insecta; Coleoptera; Tenebrionidae. The transcript is spliced from 2 exons.
GAAAAUUGCGACACGGCGUCCAAUUUCGUUUGUUAUAUUUUUUACGUCAAGGAUAUUGAAGGAGCCGCUGUUAUUUUACAAAGCAUAGGACAGGGAUUCUACAGGACCCAUUUUGCCGUUUAAUAAGUGUCCCACGGGAUGCGUUGUAUCUCCAAAUAAUCAAAAUCUCAUGUAGAAACCUUUUUAAAAUAAACUGCCACCCGAAAAGUGAGGUUGACCCUAAUGUUUUGUCGUUACAAGUGUUGAAUUUUAUUUUUUAAAUAAAUAAAUACAGUAAUGGAA